RNAcentral lists this ribosomal RNA (554 nucleotides) under uncultured Clostridia bacterium. Its description in RNAcentral is "bacterial SSU rRNA". It matches the Rfam family "Bacterial small subunit ribosomal RNA", at positions 15 to 585 of the family's 1533-position model. Lineage: Bacteria; Bacillati; Bacillota; Clostridia. The record is from RNAcentral.
GAUCCUGGCUCAGGAUGAACGCUGGCGGCGUGCCUAACACAUGCAAGUCGAGCGGGAUUAUUCCUUCGGGAAUAAUUUAGCGGCGGACGGGUGAGUAACGCGUGGGUAAUCUGCCUUAUACUGGGGGAUAACGUUGAGAAAUCAACGCUAAUACCGCAUAAGCUUACACUGCCGCAUAGCAAAGUGAGAAAAAAUUUAUUGGUAUAAGAUGAGCCUGCGUCUGAUUAGCUAGUUGGUGGGGUAAUGGCCUACCAAGGCGACGAUCAGUAGCCGACCUGAGAGGGUGAUCGGCCACAUUGGGACUGAGACACGGCCCAAACUCCUACGGGAGGCAGCAGUGGGGAAUAUUGCACAAUGGACGGAAGUCUGAUGCAGCAACGCCGCGUGAAGGAAGAAGGCCUUCGGGUUGUAAACUUCUAUCGACAGGGACGAAAGAAAUGACGGUACCUGAGUAAGAAGCACCGGCUAACUACGUGCCAGCAGCCGCGGUAAUACGUAGGGUGCAAGCGUUAUCCGGAAUUACUGGGUGUAAAGGGUGAGUAGGCGGCCAAAUA